This is a long non-coding RNA of Mesocricetus auratus (golden hamster), 2507 nucleotides long. RefSeq lists it as uncharacterized. The transcript is spliced from 2 exons. NCBI's taxonomy places the organism in Eukaryota, Metazoa, Chordata, Mammalia, Rodentia, Cricetidae. The record is from RefSeq and is a predicted model, not a curated record.
UACCGCACGCAAGGACGCCCCGGCCAGCCCAGUUAACAACCUCCAAAGCCUCGCUGCAACCGACCCGGGGCGGAGGAGGCCGCGCCGCCUCGGAGGAAACCGCAGCUCUCUGCUAUCCGGAAGCCGUGGCCCGGGAGUGGUAGGGACUGAGCCUGACGUCAGCGGCGGAGGGCGGAGUCUGGCGCCAUCGUGCGCGACUUCCGGAACCAGGGAGCUCCUGCUUCCCUGGAUCGCACGGCACGUGAUCCAGGACGCCAGCAGGCCAGAGGGCGUGGCCGGCGGCGCAGGGGCGUGGCCACGCCUGGGGCCCCUCCUGGGCUAGUCCAGGCCCCCGCAGCGCGCUCCUGGCUGCCCCUCGCCGUGAUGGGAAAGUUCCUGAGGUUUACUCAUGGCUUACUCAUUCGCUUGGUUGAGGUCGCCAAGCCUGAAGACCCGCGCCGACGUCUUCCUCCGUCCUCCUUGAUCGGACAUCUGUGAACAUUAAGACUUGGAUUUGAACUUCAGUUUCAGAAUUUUAAGUGUUUUUGAAGAGUGCUUUAGACUUCCCGAGAGUCACUUUAGUGGCAGGCAUUCUUCGUUGUCAACUUGACAAUAAUUGGAAUGAGCUAUAAUCCAGAAAUAUAACUCAUACCUGUGAGAGAUGUUUUGCUGUGCUUGAAGUGUGAAGUGUGUGAUUCCACUUCUUGUCCAGACCUUUGAAGUAGGAAGACGCACCUCUGAUCUGUGUCUUGAGGCAGGAAGACCAUAGAUUCUGCUGGAACCCUGUAUAAGGACAUGGAAGAAGGAAGGUUUGGCUAUUUGCCUGCUUGCCCUUGCCUUGCUAGACAUCCAUUUCUUCACUGGCAUUGGAGCCAACUUUGGGAUUCCAGCAUAUACAGAAGACCAGCUGAGACACCCAGUCUCCUGAGACUGAGCAGCCACUAGAUUCUUGAACUUUCUAUUCAGGGCAGCCUGUAAGUCAUUAAAUUCAAUUCCAAACCCAUCCUCCCAUACACAUACAGAGAUUCAUUACAAAAGUUCUGUGACUCUGGAGAACCCUGACUAAUGCAAUCUCUAUAAAAAUAUUGCAAAGAUAACUUCACAGGUGAGAAAAUUGUUUGAAUAUUUUCUGACAUUCCAUGUUCAAAUUUACAAGUAUUUCCUAAAAUGUGGGUUUUUAUUUUUUGUUUUGUUUUGUUUUUCUAGACAGGGUUUCUUUGUAGCCCUGGCUAUCCUGGAACUCACUCUGUAGACCAGGCUGGACUUGAACUUGCAUAUAUCUGCCUCCCGAGUGCCAGAAUUAAAGUUGUGUGCUACCAAAACCUGGCUAAUAUAGUUUGAAUUUUAAGUAUUCUUCCUAUUGUAUGCUUGACAACUGAUGGGUUCUGGGAGAGGAACAGUUAUUGCCUUCAGUAGUGUACCUAUUAGUGGGCACAUCAGGCUCCAGUGAAUUGUUCCAAAUCCAUAGGCACAUAUAGAGUCCUGCAUGUAACUAAUGGAUCACAAAACAAAACAAAAAGCAGCAUAAAUUCUGGAAGGGCUCUGUGAAGAAGAAAUGGGGAUCAUGAGUGAGAAGGAAACAAAGGAAGGUAUGGGAGAGAGUAAACAGAAUGUAUUAAAAUGUGUAUGGAAGAACAAAUUUAAUCCAUAAAACAGUAAAUUAAAAAAGUUUCCUUGAGCAGUUUCAGUAACAUGAAUGGGUGUUUCAGGCUUUUUUUUUUCCUGAGUUGGAUGUGAUCUAGCUGGGUGAACUUUAGACAAGUUGUUUAACCUGUUCUGUCUUUGCUUUUUCGUAGGGCAGGGGUUUUGCAGCCCUGUUCUCUGACUCUUAAAAACACCCACCCACUGUUCCAUUGAGAUAUAUUUUACAUGCCAUAAAACUUCCAUUUUCAAGUAUUUAACUGAAUGAUCUUUAGUAAUUUUGUCAAGUGAUGCAACCAUCAGCAUAAUCAGUAUCAGAACAUUUUCUUCCCACGAAUAAGGUUUCAUAUAUGACCAGUCCCCACUUCAGCAUUUCCCAAACCAUUGUAUACAUUUUUGCCUAUGUUCCCUUUUUUGGACAUUUCAGAUGGAAUUGUAGAAUAUAUGGCCUCUUGGUUUUCUUUUACUCAGCAAAAUAUUCUGAGGUUCAUUAAUGAUAUACCACAUAUUCCUUUAUGUUGCAAACUAGCAUUGUAUUCUGUAUGAUUGUUGUUAUUGUUUUGUUCUCCCAAUAGUGGAUAGAUAUUAAUUUAGAUUAUUUCCAGCUCAAACUGUUAUAAAUGUGCUGCUUUUAAUUUAAGUAGCAACUGAGCCAAAGGAAAUUCAGAAGUAGCAGCAUGACAUUAUUGCCAGUCACCAAAAUGCAUCCAAAAACGAUGAAGGCAAAUAUACUCUGACUGAUUUGUAAUUGGUAGUUUUUCCCCUAACAUUUUACUAGCAAUAUGCUGCCUCCUUUUUGAGCAGCUUUAAUAGUUAGGCUUUAAUAAUUAAGAAUGUUAUCUAAACAUAAAAACUGUUUAGCAUGAAAUAAAAGUUUUUGUCGUUUU